GCGGGCGUGACUCAGGCGCGGCGGGCGCGGCCGCCUCGACAGCAUCCUCGGCCGAGGCGGCGGCCGGCGCGCGCGCAUCGGGCACGGCGGCGGGCGUCGCAGCGGACGGCGCGGCCGCUCGCGGCGCGG
Molecule: ribosomal RNA, 129 nt
Filed under: Burkholderia mallei FMH
Lineage: Bacteria; Pseudomonadati; Pseudomonadota; Betaproteobacteria; Burkholderiales; Burkholderiaceae
Source: RNAcentral